UUGGAGGGCAAGUCUGGUGCCAGCAGCCGCGGUAAUUCCAGCUCCAAUAGCGUAUAUUAAAGUUGUUGCAGUUAAAAAGCUCGUAGUUGAAUUUCGGGGUUAGUAGGUUGGUCAUGCCACUGGUAUGUACUGGUCUCACUGAUUCCUCCUUCCUGAUGAGACGUAAUGCCAUUAAUUUGGUGUUGCGAGGAAUCUGGACUGUUACUUUGAAAAAAUUAGAGUGUUUAAAGCAGGCUAACGCUUGAAUACAUUAGCAUGGAAUAAUGAAAUAGGACGUUUGAUCUUAUUUUGUUGGUUUCUAGGAUUGACGUAAUGAUUAAUAGGGAUAGUUGGGGGCAUUAGUAUUCAAUUGUCAGAGGUGAAAUUCUUGGAUUUAUUGAGGACUAACUACUGCGAAAGCAUUUGCCAAGGAUGUUUUCAUUAAUCAAGAACGAAAGUUAGGGGAUCGAAGACGAUCAGAUACCGUCGUAGUCUUAACCAUAAACUAUGCCGACUAGGGAUCGGAUGAUGUUAAUUUUUUAAUGACUCAUUCGGCGCCUUACGGGAAAC
This 549-nucleotide ribosomal RNA is filed under the name uncultured Glomeromycotina. RNAcentral's name for it is "SSU rRNA". It matches the Rfam family "Eukaryotic small subunit ribosomal RNA", at positions 548 to 1098 of the family's 1831-position model. The record is from RNAcentral. Lineage: Eukaryota; Fungi; Glomeromycota.